RNAcentral lists this ribosomal RNA (301 nucleotides) under uncultured bacterium. RNAcentral describes it as "partial 16S ribosomal RNA". It matches the Rfam family "Bacterial small subunit ribosomal RNA", at positions 509 to 807 of the family's 1533-position model. The record is from RNAcentral.
CAGUAGCCACGGUAAUACGAAGGGGGCUAGCGUCGUUCGGAAUUACUGGGCGUAAAGCGCACGUAGGCGGAUCGAUCAGUCAGGGGUGAAAUCCCAGGGCUCAACCCUGGAACUGCCUUUGAUACUGUCGAUCUGGAGUAUGGAAGAGGUGAGUGGAAUUCCGAGUGUAGAGGUGAAAUUCGUAGAUAUUCGGAGGAACACCAGUGGCGAAGGCGGCUCACUGGUCCAUUACUGACGCUGAGGUGCGAAAGCGUGGGGAGCAAACAGGAUUAGAUACCCCAGUAGUCCCUGUCUCUUAUAC